GACGAACGCUGGCGGCGUGCUUAACACAUGCAAGUCGAACGGAAAGGCCCUGCUUUUGUGGGAUGCUCGAGUGGCGAACGGGUGAGUAACACGUGAGUAACCUGCCCUUGACUUUGGGAUAACUUCAGGAAACUGGGGCUAAUACCGGGUAGGAGCUCCUGCUGCAUGGUGGGGGUUGGAAAGUUUCGGCGGUUGGGGAUGGACUCGCGGCUUAUCAGCUUGUUGGUGGGGUAGGGGCUUACCAAGGCUUUGACGGGUAGCCGGCCUGAGAGGGUGACCGGCCACAUUGGGACUGAGAUACGGCCCGGACUCCUACGGGAGGCAGCAGGGGGGAAGAUUGAACAAUGGGCGGAAGCCUGAUGCAGCAACGCCGGGUGCGGGAUGACGGCCUUCGGGUGGUAAACCGCUUUCGCCUGUGACGAAGCGUGAGUGACGGUAAUGGGAAAAGAAGCACCGGCUAACUACGUG
This 468-nucleotide ribosomal RNA is filed under the name uncultured bacterium. RNAcentral's name for it is "partial 16S ribosomal RNA". It matches the Rfam family "Bacterial small subunit ribosomal RNA", at positions 28 to 507 of the family's 1533-position model. The record is from RNAcentral.